RNAcentral lists this ribosomal RNA (375 nucleotides) under Ameerega trivittata (three-striped poison frog). RNAcentral describes it as "partial 16S ribosomal RNA". Lineage: Eukaryota; Metazoa; Chordata; Amphibia; Anura; Dendrobatidae. The record is from RNAcentral.
CAAAGCUCCCUCAUUUNUUCCUCCAAUUCCUCCUCUUUUUAACAACCCAUUUUCCCCAGAGAGCAAUUCUAUAUUUAUAUAGAAAAUUUUAUGUUAAAACUAGUAAUAAGAAGCAAGCCCUUCUCUUUAAUGCAAACUUAAAUCAGUCAGGACCAUCCGCUGAUCUUUAACGCUUUUAAACCACCUGUAGUAACCCAUCAAGAAAACACUACCUCACUUAGCGUUAACCUGACACAAGAGCAUUCCAAGAAAGAUUAAAAGAAAAAGAAGGAACUCGGCAAACACCAGCCCCGCCUGUUUACCAAAAACAUCGCCUCUUGUUCAAUUAUAGGAGGUCCAGCCUGCCCAGUGACUUUGUUCAACGGCCGCGGUAUC